RNAcentral lists this long non-coding RNA (1939 nucleotides) under Olea europaea subsp. europaea. Lineage: Eukaryota; Viridiplantae; Streptophyta; Magnoliopsida; Lamiales; Oleaceae. The record is from RNAcentral.
GUAUAAACAAGGUAAUGAAAAUGUGGUUGCGGAUGCGUUGUCUUGAAGGUACUGCUUCUUAAUUUUUUUUAAGUGCAAAGUUACUUGGCUUUGAGCAUAUAAAGAGCAUGUAUGUAAAUUACCUUGAUUUCUCUAGCAUCUAUGAUUCAUUUAAUAAAGGAGUUGUUGAUAAGUUUUAUAGGUAUGACGAAUAUUUGUUUAGGGAAUAUAAGUUGUGCAUUCCUAAUUUUUCUAUACAUGAAUUUUUUAAAGGGAAGCACAUGGUAGAGGUCUAAUGGAUCACUUUGGGGUUCAAAAGACUUUAGAAAUAUUAGGGGAACAUUUUUAUUGGCCUAAAAUGCGAAGUGAGGUAGAACGAAUUUGUGAUAAAUGUAUAACUUGUAAAAGGGCUAAGUCUAUGGUUUUAUUCCAUGGUUUGUAUACUCUUUUGCCUGUAGCUAGUGAACUUGGGAGAAUAUAUUAAUGGAUUUUGUGUUGGGUUUACCUAGGACAAAAAGGGGUCGGGAUUCAAUCUUUGUAGUGGUUGAUAGGUUUAAUAAAAUGGCACACUUUAUACCAUGUCACAAAAUCGAUGAUGCCACUAAUAUUGUAGAAUUUUCUUUAAGGAAAUAGUAUGUUUGCACGGGGUCCCUAAGAGCAUAGUGUCUGAUCGUGAUGUUAAGUUUUUGAGUCAUUUUUGGCAUGUUUUGUGGAAUAAGUUAGGUACUAAAUUGUUAUUCUCUACAAUUUGUUAUGCACAAACCAAUGGGCAGACUGAGGUAAUAAAUAGGACCAUGACUCAAUUGCUUCAUAUUGUGAUUAAUAAAAACUCGAAAAAUUGGGAGAAAUGUCUACAAUUUAUUGAAUUUGCUUACAACAGAGCUGUGCAUUAUACUAUUUCAUUUUCACCUUUUGAAAUCGUUUAUGGGUUUAAUCCGCUAAUUCUUUUGGAUUUGUUACCUUUGCCCGUAAAUGAAGGAGGUAACAUGGAUGGUAAGAGAAAAACUAAGUUGGUAAAGUCACUCCACAAAAAGGUCAAGAUGCAAAUUGAAGAAAGGAGUAAGCUUAUGGCAUCAAAGGUAAACAAAGGAAGAGAGCGCGUGACAUUUGAACCAAGUGAUUGGGUCUGGGUAUAUUUCAAAAAGGAGCGUUUCCAAAGUAGAGAAAGUCUAAGUUGCAGCCACGAGGAGAUGGUACAUUUCAAAUCAUUGAAAGAUCAACGACAACGCAUACAAAGUGGAUCUUCCAAGUGAGUAUAAUGUUUUUAGUACAUUCAACAUUGCUGAUCUAUCUUUUCUUGAUGCAAGUGCAUAUUUGAAAACGAAUCCUUUUGAAGAGGAAGGAGGUGAUAUGAUCCAAGAUGCGAGAGUUACAAAAGCAAGUCCGAGCUGAGACCCGUUGGCUAUCGAAGAAGCUCGAUGACACGAUCGAGAACAAAAGGAGUUGAAGAGGCAAUGGGAUGCUCGUCAAAGCCACUAUUGAUGACACCAUGUUCGGGACGCAAAUUGGAGCAACUUUCAUGUUGGGGUCGAGAGCAGAAGUGAAUUGGAUCAACGUGAUACAAGCAACAAAAGACAAAGGCCAAAGUAACAACUAUGCGGCCACAUAGUUGCUUAUGGCAUGCGACCGCAUGUAUACCAGCAGAAAAUUUCAGGUCGCAACAUAUGUGUUCUAUGCGACCUCAUUCAGUAACACUAUGCAAUCACAUAGUUAAAAAAUGAGGAUGCAUUUUUUCCUUUUUCGCGAGAUUGUUUACUUUGUUUGGAAUUCUAUAUUUUGGAAACUUUCAUUACUAGGGGACUUUAAUUCCUUUUUUUUUUUGUUUAUUUCUUUAGGAGACUAGUAUAAAUACUUUACAUCUUUCAUUGUAUUAAGAACCUUUGGACAUUUUGAUAAUUAAGAGAUUAUUGCUUUCUUCAUUGUUCUUCCAAUUAGACAAUAAAUCGAACUUAUCAAGAAG